CAUCACUACGCUAGAUGCAUAUCAAUAAGCGGAGGAAAAGAAACUAACAAGGAUUCCCCUAGUAACGGCGAGUGAAGCGGGAAGAGCUCAAAUUUGAAAUCUUCAAGGGUUUGACCUUUACGAAUUGUAGUUUAAAGAAGUGUUUUCUGUUAGAGGAGUUAGGUAAAAGUUCUUUGGAAUAGGACAUCAUAGAGGGUGAGAAUCCCGUAUUUGACCAUGUUACUUUCAGCUGUGUGAUACACUUUCAAAGAGUCGGAUUGUUUGGGAAUGCAGUCCAAAAUGGGUGGUAGAUUUCAUCUAAAGCUAAAUAUUGGCGAGAGACCGAUAGCGAACAAGUACCGUGAGGGAAAGAUGAAAAGAACUUUGAAAAGAGAGUUAAACAGUACGUGAAAUUGUCAAAAGGGAAGCGUUUGACACCAGUGUUGUUUUUCCGAAAAUCAAUUACGAAUGUUUUGUUUUUAAGGAGUUAUGACUUCAUCGGCUUGCUUCUUUCUUUAUGAAACUUUCUUAAUACACUUUUCGGUUAACAAGUCAACAUCAAUUUCUUUUGUUGUAAAAGGGUAUGAGGAAGGUGGCUUUCUUUUCGGAGAAAGUGUUUACAGCCUUGUGCCUCUGCAAUCGGAGAGAUUGAGGUCUGCAGCGUAGAUCCUUCGGGGUUAGAUACGUUUGUGCUAAGUUAUAGCUUUUCAUAGACAACUUGUUGACUAUGUUUAGUCUUGUAGCUUACUCGCUGACGCUAUUUUACCUACGCUUAGGAUGUUGACGAGACUGUCGAUCU
This 778-nucleotide ribosomal RNA is filed under the name uncultured Neocallimastigales. RNAcentral describes it as "partial large subunit ribosomal RNA". It matches the Rfam family "Eukaryotic large subunit ribosomal RNA", at positions 20 to 646 of the family's 3401-position model. The record is from RNAcentral. Lineage: Eukaryota; Fungi; Neocallimastigomycota; Neocallimastigomycetes; Neocallimastigales.